Molecule: long non-coding RNA, 362 nt
Organism: Myotis lucifugus (little brown bat)
Lineage: Eukaryota; Metazoa; Chordata; Mammalia; Chiroptera; Vespertilionidae
Exons: 3
Source: RefSeq, a predicted model, not a curated record
UCCUGGAGCCCAAAGUGACCUUCUGGCCAGAAAAGGCCUGGCCACACUGUUCUGAUGACCGCUGUUUAUUUCUAUAUAGGAAAUAUGGGCAUCUCCUUCCGCCCUAAACCACCUACAUGGACUUAGAAGAGAUUUUCUUUGAUAUGUCAGUGACUUGGCUGCUGGCUUCCUGCCUAGCUAUCCCACCUUGGACCAGAAGCCUCUGCUGUGAAGCAUCUUGUUUUAAGUGGUUCACCUUGAAGCUGCUCUGGAACCCAACCUGAGACAGCUGGCCUCAGACACGGCCUUAGGAAGCCUGAGGACGCGACUCUGGAGUUGGCUGGCUUGCUGGCUGGAUGGCAGAGAGGACCCCACAGCUGAAG